This 459-nucleotide ribosomal RNA is filed under the name uncultured bacterium. RNAcentral describes it as "partial 16S ribosomal RNA". It matches the Rfam family "Bacterial small subunit ribosomal RNA", at positions 338 to 795 of the family's 1533-position model. The record is from RNAcentral.
CCUACGGGUGGCAGCAGUGAGGAAUAUUGGUCAAUGGUCGGGAGACUGAACCAGCCAAGCCGCGUGAGGGAGGAAGGUCCAGAGUAUCGUAAACCUCUUUUGUCAGGGAACAAAGGCGGGGACGUGUCCCCGGAUGAGUGUACCUGAAGAAAAAGCAUCGGCUAACUCCGUGCCAGCAGCCGCGGUAAUACGGAGGAUGCGAGCGUUAUCCGGAUUUAUUGGGUUUAAGGGGUGCGCAGGCGGUCUGUUACGUCGGCGGUAAAAGCCGGGGGCUCAACCCCGGCCCGCCGUUGAAACUGGCAGUCUCGAGUUGGAGAGAAGUAUGCGGAAUGCGGGGUGUAGCGGUGAAAUGCAUAGAUAUCGCGCAGAACUCCGAUUGCGAAGGCAGCAUGCCGGCUCCACACUGACGCUGAGGCACGAAAGCGUGGGUAUCGAACAGGAUUAGAUACCCCUGUAGUC